Molecule: non-coding RNA, 93 nt
Organism: Mycena albidolilacea
Lineage: Eukaryota; Fungi; Basidiomycota; Agaricomycetes; Agaricales; Mycenaceae
Source: the annotation of a GenBank genome assembly
GCAUUAAUGGGGUAGUGGUAACCUGGGUCGUUGCCAUCGGGAGUUUGUAACGUAUAUCUCGACCCGCCGGGGGUUCGAUUCCCCCUUAAUGCA